GAUGAACGCUGGCGGCGUGCCUAAUACAUGCAAGUCGAGCGAACAGACGAGGAGCUUGCUCCUCUGACGUUAGCGGCGGACGGGUGAGUAACACGUGGAUAACCUACCUAUAAGACUGGGAUAACUUCGGGAAACCGGAGCUAAUACCGGAUAAUAUAUUGAACCGCAUGGUUCAAUAGUGAAAGACGGUUUUGCUGUCACUUAUAGAUGGAUCCGCGCCGCAUUAGCUAGUUGGUAAGGUAACGGCUUACCAAGGCAACGAUGCGUAGCCGACCUGAGAGGGUGAUCGGCCACACUGGAACUGAGACACGGUCCAGACUCCUACGGGAGGCAGCAGUAGGGAAUCUUCCGCAAUGGGCGAAAGCCUGACGGAGCAACGCCGCGUGAGUGAUGAAGGUCGUCGGAUCGGAAAACUCUGUUAUUAGGGAAGAACAAAUGUGUAAGUAACUAUGCACGUCUUGACGGGACCUAAUCAGAAAGCCACGGCUAACUACG
This 495-nucleotide ribosomal RNA is filed under the name uncultured bacterium. RNAcentral's name for it is "partial 16S ribosomal RNA". It matches the Rfam family "Bacterial small subunit ribosomal RNA", at positions 28 to 505 of the family's 1533-position model. The record is from RNAcentral.